Sorghum bicolor (sorghum) is the source of this 476-nucleotide long non-coding RNA. RefSeq lists it as uncharacterized. The transcript has 3 exons. The record is from RefSeq and is a predicted model, not a curated record. Lineage: Eukaryota; Viridiplantae; Streptophyta; Magnoliopsida; Poales; Poaceae.
CUCGUUAGAGGUAUAGGGUAAGCAUCAAGGAAGACGAGGGGUGGAUCAGAGCGUGUGUAUUUCAUGAUUCGCUGAGAAUCAAAUAUCACUUUGGUUCCGACGCCGCACAGCUUAAUAAUUGUCCGUAGCGACGUGUGAUCUGAUCCAUGCGAUCGAGUUGGUGAUGAUCCGCACAGGGCAUCUGGCAAGUUGUUAAGAACAUGUUAAGACCAAAUGAAAGGCGGAUAAAUGUCAUCGAUAAAAUUGUCUACUAAUCGCCACCAUUUUUAAGAAACCAACGCGCCUGUUCGCUGUCUCUCGUGAUGGAUGCAUGUUUACGUUGUCCGGUUUGCGGGGUUACCAUGUUGUGGUGUCAUCAACGAUGUAUAUCCAGAGUAUAGUUUGUUAUGGCAGUCCCAAUGAUGUAUCUAUGGUGAUUUCUAUAUCUAUUAAUUACCCUGCCAACUAAGCAAAAUGCUGAUGUGGCAAUUGAUUUA